This 468-nucleotide ribosomal RNA is filed under the name uncultured bacterium. RNAcentral describes it as "partial 16S ribosomal RNA". It matches the Rfam family "Bacterial small subunit ribosomal RNA", at positions 28 to 507 of the family's 1533-position model. The record is from RNAcentral.
GACGAACGCUGGCGGCGUGCUUAACACAUGCAAGUCGAACGGAAAGGCCCUGCUUUUGUGGGGUGCUCGAGUGGCGAACGGGUGAGUAACACGUGAGUAACCUGCCCUUGACUUUGGGAUAACUUCAGGAAACUGGGGCUAAUACCGGAUAGGAGCUCCUGCUGCAUGGUGGGGGUUGGAAAGUUUCGGCGGUUGGGGAUGGACUCGCGGCUUAUCAGCUUGUUGGUGGGGUAGUGGCUUACCAAGGCCUUGACGGGUAGCCGGCCUGAGAGGGUGACCGGCCACAUUGGGACUGAGAUACGGCCCAGACUCCUACGGGAGGCAGCAGUGGGGAAUAUUGCACAAUGGGCGGAAGCCUGAUGCAGCAACGCCGCGGGCGUGAUGACGGCCUUCGGGUUGUAAACCGCUUUCGCCUGUGACGAAGCGUGAGUGACGGUAAUGGGUAAAGAAGCACCGGCUAACUACGUG